AACAGUCAAAUGUUACAGCAUGUCACAAUCAGUGUGCUGGAUCACCUUACUGUGAGUUAACCUGUCCUCCAGGGUGAGUCCAAGUCAAACCUGGAGCAUAACAUCUACAGCUGCAGAUUUAGCUUUGCUACAUGUACAGUCUAAAAAAGUGAGGGUCAUAUACAAUGUGAUCCACUCCUAUUAUAGACUAACACUGGAUUUGAAGAACCGCAAAGAAAACUAUUGGUGUUUACGUAGGCAUACAUCAAAGCAGGGCAACAGUUACUUGGGAACUUUGAUUGUAUUCCUAUUAUGAUGAUGAAUAAUGCUUCAACCACAUUACAUGUAUGCAAUAGAUAGUUGUCUUUGAUCUGUCUUUUAUUACACGACCACUGGCCCAUAUGCCAGAGAAUCAUUCCUUACAAUAUCUAAUGGUAUGAUGUCACCCAAGCUGUUUUUAUAUGAUAAACUCUCUCUAUUGGUCCACCAAUUAUUCUUCAGCAAAAAAUAGAGGAAAGUGCACCAUCUUACAAACUUUCUUACAAACUUCCCUGUUUCUAAAGAACAGGGAAGUUUUCUAGAAAGCACGAAAGCUAUGGAAAAUAAAAAACAAAUUCAGCCCAUUUACUAAUUUGCUAAAUAAAAAAGCAAACAGGUUAACAGUCUUAGGAAGAUUAUGGAAUAUGGCUACUACAUUUACGAAAACUUCACAAGUCUAAUGAAAAUUACAUAUGUAUGUUUAUGGGACAAAAACAACCCUGAAGACACGGUGAACAUGAGUGAGACAACACAACACCAAUGUCAACAUCCAAAGUUAUUCAGAGUGUACACACACUGCAUCACCACGAACCCAACAGAUGAGCUGCUGAGACGAAUGCCAGCAUGCAUGACUGAGGUGAAAAACGGAGCCUCCUGCUAAAUCAGCUGCAGUCCAAAGCUUUUCUUCACCACUCAAUAUUUUUCAAUAAACAGCUUAAACUGAGUCGGAUUAGAUGAGGAUGAAGAACACCUAUGAACACCAGUUCAUAAAUCUUGUAAUAGUUUUUCAGUCAGAUUUAACUCUGGACCUUGACUAGACCAUUCUAAAACAUGCACUUUGAUGUGAACCAUCCCACUGUGGAUCCAGUUGUAUGUUCAGAGUUGUUAAACAUUCACCCCAGUCUCAGGUUUUCUGCAAAACACUUAAAUGUUGUUCUGUUUCAUGUUUCAUUCCAAGAUAAUGAUUUAUGGAUUUUCAUUAUCUCAAAGCUGUAACCAUCAAAAUUACAAUAAAGGCUUGCCAUAUUUUAUUCUGUGUGUGAGAUAAUUUCACACAUGGAGAUGUACACAGCUAAUUGUCAACUGUGACUAGUGGAGAUUGGCUUGACUUCAUAUUGACUAAAUUGUUAGAAGCAAAUGCAGUAGGUAUUGUCAGUAUUCUUUGGUUUAACUUUUUUUUAAUCACCGGUUUACGUUUUCCUAUUUCUUCGAAUACAAUGCAUGGAAUACAGAGCAGGGAGAUCCAUAAACUACCAAAAUUGCAAGCCGAAGAAACCAGAGGAACAGAACUGGGGG
Molecule: long non-coding RNA, 1533 nt
Organism: Poecilia latipinna (sailfin molly)
Lineage: Eukaryota; Metazoa; Chordata; Actinopteri; Cyprinodontiformes; Poeciliidae
Exons: 2
Source: RefSeq, a predicted model, not a curated record